This 77-nucleotide transfer RNA is filed under the name Candidatus Moraniibacteriota bacterium. Its description in RNAcentral is "tRNA-Val". It matches the Rfam family "tRNA". From Rfam's summary of the family: Transfer RNA (tRNA) molecules are approximately 80 nucleotides in length. Their secondary structure includes four short double-helical elements and three loops (D, anti-codon, and T loops). The record is from RNAcentral. Lineage: Bacteria; Candidatus Moraniibacteriota.
GGACGAUUAGCUCAGCUGGUUAGAGCGCUUCCCUUACAAGGAAGAAGUCACUGGUUCGAAUCCAGUAUCGUCCACAA